UACGGAGGGUGCAAACGUUGCUCGGAAUCAUUGGGCGUAAAGCGCACGUAGGCGGUCCGGUAUGUCGGGUGUGAAAGCCCUCGGCUUAACCGAGGAAGUGCAUUCGAAACUGGCGGACUUGAGUACCGGAGAGGGUCGCGGAAUUCCCGGUGUAGAGGUGAAAUGCGUAGAUAUCGUGAGGAAGACCAGUGGCGAAAGCGAAUCUCUGGACAGAUCCUGACGCUGAUGCACGAAGGCUAGGGGAGCAAGCGGG
RNAcentral lists this ribosomal RNA (253 nucleotides) under uncultured bacterium. Its description in RNAcentral is "partial 16S ribosomal RNA". It matches the Rfam family "Bacterial small subunit ribosomal RNA", at positions 524 to 776 of the family's 1533-position model. The record is from RNAcentral.